Molecule: long non-coding RNA, 4733 nt
Organism: Mustela putorius furo (domestic ferret)
Lineage: Eukaryota; Metazoa; Chordata; Mammalia; Carnivora; Mustelidae
Source: Ensembl
AUUCUGGUCUCUUGCAGCUGUGCCCAACUUCCCCAAGUCACAAAAUCCAGAUAUGGGAAGGACUUCAGGACAGGGUGUAGAAGGCCUGGAUUCUGAUUCUAUGCCACCACAAGCCUUGAGUGUGUCACUUAAAUGCCAAAUCUCACCUUAUACCUUUGGAAAACUCAUGGUCUAGAUGAGUUCCUGAGUCACUCUCACUCAACCACACCACAGCCUGAUACGGAGGACCAAAUCCUGAUCUCUGGAAUCUUCCAUGCUCCACUGGUGCCCACGUUGACUCCUGUGGCCUUUUUAAAGCUGGAUCCUGGGGCCAUUCCCAGAUGUGCCAAAGGUCUAGGGAGAAGCCCCACUGAGGAGAAUGGGGAGGAAGACACCACCCACCCUGCUCCUCAAAACCUGGAAGAGGAAUAACAAGUGAGACUAGAAAAUACUGAAUAGUCUCCCUGGGGAGAAAAACGACAUCCACACUCAGGCUGGCUUUGGCCUUUGUGGGGAGAGUCCAAGAUCAGACAAAGGGUGUCUGAGAAAUAAGAUCUAUCACUUAAAUAUUCAGUUCUCCAAAAUGUCUACAAUUUAAUUAAACAACAGAGUUGAUCUUCUAGCUCUUGAGGAGCUCUUUUUAAUUAAACUUUGCAUUUCUUCUCUCUGCUCUGCUGAGGCAUUCCAGGGUGGCAUUUGGCUUUGAAUGAGCAGUCAUUCUGGCCACCCACAAUGGUCUGGAAAAGCCCCACUGCUGAGUUAACAAAAUUCUUCAAUGAGAAUAUCAUCGACUUUUCAUUUUCACCGAUAUCCAGAAACUUUCACUAAUGUUAAUGAAGCGUGUGUGUUAUUUUAUUCCUUUUGUGGCUGUCUGCAAAAUACCUCUAUGUAGAACUCAGAUGUUGACUAAGUUUCAGGCCAGAUUUCAGUUCUUCCAUCUGCAAAAUGGCGUCACAACGUUGACUCUUCAUGCAAAAUGGUUUCACACUUUGAGCAAAGAAUAAAAAGCGCAUGACAGCAUGUGUGGUGUGACAUCUAAAACAUGGCAUCAUGAGAAGCCUGGAUACCAAUCGCUCUACAUUACAGUGGGAAAGGUGCCACUGCAGAAAUUGCUCAAAUCUAAGAAGCAACUUUGAUGCUCAGAGUGGAGAGAAUCGAUCUAGGGCAAAAAAGACAUUAAAUGAUGAUGUAAACAUUAUUCUCACAAGCUAUUCUAGUUUGACCUGAGACAGCAUUCUGCGUACUUUGAAGAAAGUUGAUUAACACGUAGGACUGAGCAAACAAAUGGACAGGCAAGCAAGAGAGGGGUGAGAUGAGAAAAGUUGGGUGAAUGAGGGUGAACGACGUGGUCGUUGCCUUCCUAUGACACUGGUUGUAAGAAUUUGAACUGUGCGGCCAUUUCCUGCUCUGUAGAAAGAUACUUCACAAAAUACUGUUUCCACCCAAUUCUCUACCACAGAUAGACACAAUCUGAGUGUCUCUAUCUAAAUUCUUGGAAAAAAUGGGUCAGAGUGGCAUAAAUUUCAGAUUAGAAACAAAAUACACCCAAGUAAUGCAGAUUUCUAAAAUCCAAGAUCAACCUUGAUGGACCUGUGUUCAAAAUAUUAGUGUAACCUCCCCAGCAAGUUUUGUUACAUGAUGUUAUUUUAGAGCAUGGCAAACAACUCCUAGAACUGAUCAUUGGAAUUUUUCUUAACAAUUUGCAAUACAGAAGGCCUGGCAAAACUCUUCGUUGCUCUACCAUAACCAUUAAUAUGUUGUGCUUUGGGAUAGCCAAUUAAUUUUAUAGCCAAAGCUAAUUAAGCCAGAAUUAAUUGCACUAUAAUACAUAUAUAAGAAACGGGAAAUGUUAAGUUGAAAGGGAACCAAGAAGUUUUUCCAAGUUUGACUCUCUUCUUUUUGAAUACAACCAUAUGAUACAUUCCUCUUUUUUCUUCUCUGUACGAAAGCAGGGUAAUUCUGGUGGUUCUGUUUUGCUGUCUUUGAGGGUUUGUUUCUAAAACUAGCAUAAGCAAUUUGAAAAUGUUUCUUUUUUUUUAUUCCUGAGGGAAAGCAAGGGUCUCUGGAAAGCAUGCUCUCCUUUAAAACUGACGAAUGUUAAGAUUAUCUACAUCAUUAAUGAGCACAAGUGGCUUGAAAUAUUAUACAGGGCAAUCUGUUCUUCUUAAGGGCAGGACCAGGAACAUAGCAACGGGCAAAAUAAAUCCAUUCCUAAUAACAAAUGAACAACCAUGGAAGAAAAGUGCUGAGAUCUCUUCCUAGCACAAAACAAGAAACUAAACUAUUGAAGGAAAACAACUAUUGCUAGUUCUAAAACUCAUGUAAACAGGAUUCUGAGCCUCACUUUCACUGUGAUUUUCCAAACCUUUGGGAAACUGACUUUCUCAGCUGGGCCUGCUGAAAGCACACAUAUAAUGGACUUUAUUAAGUAGUUAAAAUUGAGGUUAUGACUACUCAUGAACAACUUUAGCUAGUGGAGGUUUUGGGUAGCAUUGUUUUAUAUAGGUCAAAGGCCAUUAAAAAAUAAACUCUGAGAUCUCAUAACAAAAUAUACGUGAAGAUCUUUUUGAAUGUUUAAUAUGCAUGGCCAAUGUAAGAAAGUAUUGUUCCGUGUCAACAUAGGCUGAACAUAUGACCAGGGGCUUGGGACUGCAAUUUGGAUGCAACUCACAGUGAUAGUUAUUCUAAAUGAUAAUAACCAGUACAUGUACCCUUUGCCAUUGAAUUUGAAUAAGGAGAAAGGGGAGAAAAGAAAAUUUGUAUUAGUUAAUAUUUGAUUUUCAGAUAACAGGAACCCAAGUCCCACUAAAUAAAGGACGUUUAUUGGCUCAUGUAAAACUUCAAGUCCAGAUAGGGAGCUGGACCCAGAGAACUGAGUAUCAUUUGGUAUCUCUCCCUCUCUCGUUCUCUUUCUCUGUUGGCCUCAUCUUUUUCCACUACCAAUGUUCCUUCUUCAACACAUAGGAAAGAUGAUGGUGUAUUUUUCUUUAGAGAAAAAGAACAUGUAUAUGUUCACAUAUAUGUGUAUCUUUAUCUACACCUGUCAUAAUGGCUAAAAUUGAUGACACAAGAAGGAACAGGUGUUAGAGAAGAUGUUGAGAAAGGGGACCCCUCUUGCACUGGUGCAGCCACACUCUGGAGAACAGUAUGGAGAUUCCUCAAAAGUUAAAAGAUGGAACUACUCUAUGGCCCAGCAAUUGCACUACUAGGUAUUUAUCCAAAGAAUAUAAAAAUACAAAUUUGAAGGGGUACGUGCCUCCCAAUGUGUAUAGUAGCAUUAUCAACAAUAGCCAAACUAUGUAUGGAGAGAGCCCAAAUGUCCAUCCACUGAUGAGUGGAUAAAAAAGAUAUGGGGUGCCUGGGUGGCUCAGUCAGUUAAGUGUCCAACUCUUGGUUUAUGGCUCAGGUUGUGAUCUCAGGGUCUUGAGAUCAAACCCUGUGCCAGGUUCCACACUCAGCACUGAGUCUGCUUGAGAUUCUCUUUCCCUCUCCCUCUGCCCUUCCCACUUGUGCAUGCUCUCUCUAAAAUAAGUAAAUAAAUCCUGAAAAAAAAAAAGAAAGAAAAUGUGGUGUAUAUAUAUAUCAAUGGAAUAUUACUCAGCCAUUAAAAAAUGAAUACUUGCCAUUUGCAACAACAUGGAUGGAGCUAGAGUGUUUUAGAAGUCAGUCAGAGAAAGACAAAUACCAUACAAUCUCACUCAAAUGUGGAAUUUAAGAAAGAAAACAGAUGAAUGUAUAGGAAGAGGGAAAGGAAAAAAAGGAGAGCAGGAAACAAGCCAUAAGAGACUCUCAAUGUUAAAAAACAAACAGGAUUGGUGGAGGGAGGUGGGUGGGGGAUGGGCUUGAUGAUUAUUAAGGAGGGCACUUGUUGUGAUGAGCACUGGGUGUUGUAUAUAAGUGAUUAAUCACUGAAUUCUAUUCCAGAAACCAAUAUUGCAAUAUGUUCACUGAAAUUUAAAUUUUAAAAAAAAGGAAAAAAAAAUUUUAAAGGAAUUGACUCAGAAUUGUGGAUGCUGGUAUCCAAACUCUGCAGGAUGGGCAGACAGGGUAGAGAACCAGGGAAGAGCCAAUGUUACAGUUCAAGUUCAAAGGCCAUCAGGCUGCAGAAUUUCCUCUUUUGGGUGGUACAUCAGUCUUUUCACUAUUCAGACCUUCAAAUAAUUAGAUGAACCCCACCCACAUCAUAGAGGUCAAUCUGCUUUACUGAAGUCCACUUAUUUAAAUGUUAAUAUCGUCUAAAUCUUCCUCACAGAAACUUCCAGAAUAUUUGAACAAAAAUCUGGGUACCGUGGUUCAAUCAAGUUGACACAUAAAAUUAACCUUUACAAAUUAUUUCCAACAAUCCUAGGUAUCAGCAUUCCAAAUUAACAAAGAAAGUUUUUUUCUCCUAGCGUCCAUAUACCAAGCCCAAAGAAAGACCUUGAUUAGACAUGCUAUUAUCCCAUGACCAUCCCGGAAAUGCCACUUCUAUGGUUGACAGAUCCACUAAAACCUCAUGAAAUGGCAAAGGGGCAUUGGAAACCCUUUGUAACUGUUCUGCCAUAUUGUUUACUGAGCGUAUGACUACAUGGGACAUACGAAGCCAUCUUGUAGAUGGGUCGGUGUUAUGUAAAUCCCCAUCCUCUAUGGUGUGGGAUAAGAGAUAUGUGGUAGGGUAGGCAGAGAAAAGCCCAUCUUUAAGUAUGGGGGAAGAAAGUGUGUUUCAACUGUAUAAUCUAUGACCCUUUCAUUGAUCACCACCUAAACUCAUUCCA